AGCUAUGUGUGGCAGGGAUAAACGCUGAAAGCAUCUAAGCGUGAAGCCCCCCUCAAGAUGAGAUUUCCCAUUUCUUCGGAAAGUAAGAUCCCUGAAAGAUGAUCAGGUAGAUAGGUUUGGAGUGGAAGUGUAGCGAUACAUGGAGCGGACAAAUACUAAUCGAUCGAGGACUUAACCAA
This 179-nucleotide ribosomal RNA is filed under the name Listeria monocytogenes. Its description in RNAcentral is "partial 23S ribosomal RNA". It matches the Rfam family "Bacterial large subunit ribosomal RNA", at positions 2747 to 2925 of the family's 2925-position model. Lineage: Bacteria; Bacillati; Bacillota; Bacilli; Caryophanales; Listeriaceae. The record is from RNAcentral.